This 685-nucleotide ribosomal RNA is filed under the name uncultured Bacilli bacterium. RNAcentral's name for it is "bacterial SSU rRNA". It matches the Rfam family "Bacterial small subunit ribosomal RNA", at positions 60 to 717 of the family's 1533-position model. The record is from RNAcentral. Lineage: Bacteria; Bacillati; Bacillota; Bacilli.
AGCGAGCGGAACUAACAGAUUUACUUCGGUAAUGACGUUAGGAAAGCGAGCGGCGGAUGGGUGAGUAACACGUGGGGAACCUGCCCCAUAGUCUGGGAUACCACUUGGAAACAGGUGCUAAUACCGGAUAAGAAAGCAGAUCGCAUGAUCAGCUUUUAAAAGGCGGCGUAAGCUGUCGCUAUGGGAUGGCCCCGCGGUGCAUUAGCUAGUUGGUAAGGUAAAGGCUUACCAAGGCGAUGAUGCAUAGCCGAGUUGAGAGACUGAUCGGCCACAUUGGGACUGAGACACGGCCCAAACUCCUACGGGAGGCAGCAGUAGGGAAUCUUCCACAAUGGACGCAAGUCUGAUGGAGCAACGCCGCGUGAGUGAAGAAGGUUUUCGGAUCGUAAAGCUCUGUUGUUGGUGAAGAAGGAUAGAGGUAGUAACUGGCCUUUAUUUGACGGUAAUCAACCAGAAAGUCACGGCUAACUACGUGCCAGCAGCCGCGGUAAUACGUAGGUGGCAAGCGUUGUCCGGAUUUAUUGGGCGUAAAGCGAGCGCAGGCGGAAGAAUAAGUCUGAUGUGAAAGCCCUCGGCUUAACCGAGGAACUGCAUCGGAAACUGUUUUUCUUGAGUGCAGAAGAGGAGAGUGGAACUCCAUGUGUAGCGGUGGAAUGCGUAGAUAUAUGGAAGAACACCAGUGGCG